GCACCGGUGGUGUACGGUACACACGCUAUGCCUGCGAUGUAUGCACGUGCUGCGAGUUCAGUGGCGAGUCCGGGGUUCGACUCCCCGCCGGCGCA
This is a non-coding RNA of Mycena rosella, 95 nucleotides long. Lineage: Eukaryota; Fungi; Basidiomycota; Agaricomycetes; Agaricales; Mycenaceae. The record is from the annotation of a GenBank genome assembly.